CCUGGGAACUACGAGCACAAACGCUUAAAACCCUAAGGACUUGGCGGUGCCUCAAAUCCACCUAGAGGAGCCUGUUCUGUAAUCGAUAACCCACGAUGCACCUAACCCCUUCUUGCCAAACAGCCUACAUACCGCCGUCUCCAGCUCGCCCUCCCUGAAGGUCUAACAGCGAGCACAAUAGCCUUGAAUCAUCGCUAGUAAGACAGGUCAAGGUAUAGCUAAUGAAGGGGAAGAAAUGGGCUACAUUCUCUAAAAUAGAGAAAUUUUUUAUUAGACGAAAGGGGGCGUGAAAUCGCCCCUUGAAGGCGGAUUUAGCAGUAAAAGGAGAUAAGAAAGCUCCAUUUAAGCUGGCCCUGAGGCACGUACAUACCGCCCGUCACCCUCCUCACAGGCUAUCAAAUUAGACUAUAACUAAUUCACCAUUAAAGCCAAAGAUGAGGUAAGUCGUAACAAGGUAAGUGUACCGGAAGGUGCACUUAGCAUACCAAGGCG
RNAcentral lists this non-coding RNA (492 nucleotides) under Apaloderma vittatum (bar-tailed trogon). RNAcentral describes it as "Bacterial small subunit ribosomal RNA". It matches the Rfam family "Bacterial small subunit ribosomal RNA", at positions 872 to 1533 of the family's 1533-position model. The record is from Rfam by way of RNAcentral. Lineage: Eukaryota; Metazoa; Chordata; Aves; Trogoniformes; Trogonidae.